RNAcentral lists this ribosomal RNA (252 nucleotides) under uncultured bacterium. Its description in RNAcentral is "partial 16S ribosomal RNA". It matches the Rfam family "Bacterial small subunit ribosomal RNA", at positions 524 to 776 of the family's 1533-position model. The record is from RNAcentral.
UACGUAGGGCGCAAGCGUAUCCGGAAUUAUUGGGCGUAAAGAGCUCGUAGGCGGUUUGUCGCGUCUGCCGUGAAAGUCCGGGGCUCAACUCCGGAUCUGCGGUGGGUACGGGCAGACUAGAGUGAUGUAGGGGAGACUGGAAUUCCUGGUGUAGCGGUGAAAUGCGCAGAUAUCAGGAGGAACACCGAUGGCGAAGGCAGGUCUCUGGGCAUUAACUGACGCUGAGGAGCGAAAGCAUGGGGAGCGAACAGG